RNAcentral lists this non-coding RNA (23 nucleotides) under Cricetulus griseus (Chinese hamster). The record is from RNAcentral. Lineage: Eukaryota; Metazoa; Chordata; Mammalia; Rodentia; Cricetidae.
CAGCACGUGGUUGUGGUACGGUG